This 253-nucleotide ribosomal RNA is filed under the name uncultured bacterium. Its description in RNAcentral is "partial 16S ribosomal RNA". It matches the Rfam family "Bacterial small subunit ribosomal RNA", at positions 524 to 776 of the family's 1533-position model. The record is from RNAcentral.
UACGUAGGUGGCGAGCGUUGUCCGGAUUUACUGGGCGUAAAGGGCUUGUAGGCGGUCCGCUAAGUCUGGUGUGAAAUCUCCCGGCUCAACUGGGAGGGGUCAUCGGAUACUGGCGGACUUGAGGGGGGUAGAGGAAAGCAGAAUUCCUGGUGUAGCGGUGAAAUGCGUAGAUAUCAGGAGGAAUACCAGUGGCGAAGGCGGCUUUCUGGGCCUACCCUGACGCUGAGGAGCGAAAGCGUGGGGAGCAAACCGG